Molecule: long non-coding RNA, 406 nt
Organism: Xenopus laevis (African clawed frog)
Lineage: Eukaryota; Metazoa; Chordata; Amphibia; Anura; Pipidae
Exons: 3
Source: RefSeq, a predicted model, not a curated record
AAUGUGCAGUAAAUCCAGCUGACAGAGUGGACUGUGGAUACAGAGGGAUUACCCAGGCAGAUUGCGAAGGAAAAAACUGCUGCUUCGAUUCCACUAUCCCUGAAACAAAAUGGUGCUUCUAUAAACCGGCAGAUGCUCCAGCUAAGAAAGCAGCAUGCGCAGUGCCCCCUGAAAAAAGAACUGACUGUGGAUACCCAGGGAUUACAGACAAAGACUGCAGGGCGAAGGGUUGCUGUUAUGAUGAAAGUAUUCCUGACGUUAUAUGGUGCUUCUAAAAAGCAGCACCUUAAUUGAUGGGCUACACAGAGAUAUCAUCAGAUCACAGAAAUUUACAAGUUUUGAUUUCAAAUGGAAUAUGUAAUCAAGGAUAUGUGUUGAUUAACUCCCAAUAAAACAGUUCUGCAUA